This is a long non-coding RNA of Falco peregrinus (peregrine falcon), 16188 nucleotides long. RefSeq lists it as uncharacterized. NCBI's taxonomy places the organism in Eukaryota, Metazoa, Chordata, Aves, Falconiformes, Falconidae. The transcript is spliced from 4 exons. The record is from RefSeq and is a predicted model, not a curated record.
CUCGGGGAACAUUUCAGCCUACCAGAGUGUUACAGACAUGACACACCACGUGUUGCUUCCAUUGAGUAACUCUGUGAUUCAGAGUGCAUUUGCUUCGUAGCUGAGGCUCCCACAGCUUCUGGAUCCUCAAAGCUGCAUGGCGCUUGUGCAUUUUCCUUGGAGGACAUUCCUAAUGGAUGGAGGAUUUUUUCCAGUCGCCAUCAACAACACAAUUAGUAUAAAUUACAACAUGCAGGUACAGUGACACAGCAGCCUUGCGCUUAUGUCCAAAGACAUAAAGACAAGAUGAAUCUAGGAUGCAGGAGGAAAACAAACUAAUGCUAUCUUGCUUCCUGUCUUUUUUUUUUAAAGAACAGAAGUGAACAAAAAACAUCUCCCCCUUUUCUGUCCAAAAGCUCAUCUUACCAUUGACUUCACAUUUGAUCUUCAAGCAGAGCAGAGCAUUUUUGUUGAUAAUUAACCUAUACUUAUCAUUUUCCUAGUGUGCUAGAAAUAGAGAAUCAAAUAAUUCUUAUGCACGGGCAUAUGUGUUUUAGGGCCUUAGUGCUAAAAGCUUGAAAUCCAUUUGUGUUUAUAACAUAGAAAGCCCGAGAUUCGCUGUUACCGGUUAAGCUGUGUAUGGCACACCUUCAGAGACUCUCCCUUCCUCUUCAGCCAUGCCUGUGAGCCUCAAGGAUGCAGAUCGAAGAGUUGCUCAUGGGGAGCUGAUGGCAAUGCAGUUUCUGAUGGAGGAUGUAGUGCAGAACAGCUACAGCUGUGCUGUGGGAGAUCACGCUGACUGUCAAGCCUUGCAAGCAGGUACCUCUGAGAACUCAGUCCGUUUGGGACUGUACAGCUUCUAUGUGGGACUCCCAUCAGUUUUUGCAACCAAAUCCCUGUGAACAGAAGUGACCUAGACCUAAGGUAUACUGUAAUAACCUCACCUAUUCUUGACCAUCUGGUAAGAAGCAAAAGGAACAAUUUGUCUCCCAUAAAUCCUGAAUGCUCUUGAGAGAAACCCUAGUGAUAUGAUAGAUGCCCCUGGAGGGUCUGUUAGUAUCACCAGACUUCUGGAGAAAUCAGAGACUGUCCCAACUUCUUCCCACACCCCAGCGAAGGUCCAGCUCUUUCUGUAUCAAGAGCUACUUGGUGCAAAGGGGAAAGGAACGGGCUGGCCAUUGUCUAAGAUUGAAUCUAGUCAAGGAGAGGCAAGGUACUUCCAGGCUGUACUUCCCUGAGUACUUGUGUUGUGGACGUGUAUGUGAGGAAUAGUAGGGCUUGUAGCAAUAGGGCAAGGGGGCAUGGCCUUAAACUAAAAGAGGGCAGAUUUAGAUUAGAUAUUAGGAAGAAAUUUAUUACGGUGAGGGUGGUGAGGCACUGGAACAGGUUGCCCAGAGAAGCUGUGGAUGCCCCAUCCCUGGAAGUGUUCAAGGCCAGGCUGGAUGGGGCUUGGAGCAACCUGGUCUAGUGGAAGGUGUCCCUGCCCAUGGCAGGGGCCUUGGAACUAGGUCAUCUUCAAGGUCCCUUCCAACCCAAACCAUUCUAUGAUUCUAUGGUGCUAGGAAUGUUGGUGGGGGCACCUGAAGACUGCCAGAAAAUACACAAAGGUUUGGUUCAAAGAACAGGCAGAGAUUCAGACUGUUUGUGAUGGAAAACAGACACGCAGAUCGAUUUGUAAGGUAAGGUAAAAUGAGCAGAAAGGACAAAUUUAGUUAUUUUAAGGUCUGCUUCUUUCAAGAUCUGACCUAAGAGUUUGAUUUCUGUAACAGUACAUUUAGUAGAGACCAAGCAGAGAGUGCUGCUGUUGAAGCUAUUCACUUGAGGAAAGCAGCAAUAACCCAAAGGAUUUAACUUCUGUGCAGUUUUACCCCCAUCUCUGCUGUAUAUGAGCACUCAUUGCAAUCCAAAGGUAGGCUGGUUUUUUCCUGUGCCAUGCUCUGAAGGACACUGAUGUAAGGCCCCAUUGCAAGUUCUGAUUGCACAAUAGCCUGUUGCAUGCCUUGUCUUACUGUGUAUCUCAGGAGAUGAUAUUAAGCAAAGAAAAUCAUGUGAAAUAUUUGUCAUAGCUUUUUGAAGCAAGACAUUUCCCUGUGACUUCCAGCAGAACUGGGCAGAAGCGGUUGACUCAAGUGGUAAUGGGUUGCAGAACAGCAAAAAGAUGUGCAAACUUUUGCUGAGGCAUCAUGACUCGGUCAUGUCACUUAACUUGCUGAGAUCUUUUCUGAUACUAUGGAAGCAAUGGGAAAUAUUAAAGGCAGAAUGAGGCUGACUCAAGCUGAGGACUGAGGAUAUCAAUACAGUUCCCCUCUACAAAGAGUUUUGCGAGCAAUAUGGGUGACUUUUUAAAAAAGCCCUUUACAACAGUGUCUCACCGUAGUGGGCUGUGACAUCGUGGCCAGAGAGCACUGCAACUUUGAGACUGCUCCGUGUUUUAUGAAAAUGUUCUCCAGUAGCAGCAGCAUUUACUUUCCCCAAAAGAACAGGGAAAGUUGGAUGUCUAUCACCUUAGCAUUGAGCAACGAGUGUUUGAAAUCAUCGGUGAAGUGAGAAGAGGAGGUGACAAUAUGAUUGAUCUGAAGAAAAAGUUCAGCUCCACUAAGAACAACAGUGACUUGGAAGAACAUUUGUCUAAAGUAAGGAAAUACAUAUAUGCAUCGGUAAAUGAACACAAGGAUAAUAUCAAGGUAAAGCUUGUUGAAGAUAGCUUAAGUUAUUAUACUGUUUCUGAGACAUCAGUUGUGUGAAGAGCAUGGAGGUAGUCCAUUACUAGACUCUGUUAAUGGCUACUCAUUUGUCAGGCUGUCAUAAAUCGGUCAUCUUUGACUGUGUGUUCAUGCUCCAAGUGCAGAAAUGUUGGGCCAAACCCAGAUCUUGGACCCUGAAUAACUACAUGUAUUUGAAGUGAAUUUGGUUCUAAACUUAGGAACUAUGCUUUCAGUCUGUUCUGAGGGAAACUAACAUAAUGCUUUCUACACAGGUGAACAUCAGAGAGGUUAAACCUAGAUCUGAAGAAGCAUAAAUGUGAACUCACAUUCAGCCUUGUGUCAGCAUUGUCGUGUGUUGUCAUUGUCCUUUUUUUUUGGGUGGGGGAAAGAGAAUGUGAUGUUUCAAUAAGCCUGAUAAAUGUGUUGAUGGGAAUUUUAUCUUCUUGUUGUGCAAGCCGGUCACAUAAAAGAAUGCGGACAGAAUCCUCUUUUCUAUUUGGGGUUACUUAAAAUAAAAAAUAUAUUCAGCUUUAUGUUUUGAAAGAGUGCCCCCAAAACUGAUGGUCUGGGAGUUAUAAACUAAAGCCUGGAAAUUACUUUCCAGGCUACAACUUCCAAAUCAAUCCCUUUUAUAAUCAAACGUAUUCCUCCUCAGCAAAGUUCAAUUUGUACUGAAAUCAUCAUAGUCAGACAGUGAAUACAAAUGAGAUCAAAUGGAUAAUGGCUGAAUACUUCUGUCUAAAGCAAAUAUACUUGCAGAUCUCUCAAGCAGAGCAGUUUGUGAAGCAGGAUGUAACUGUAAUGUCUACAGAGUGAGAAGGACUUUCAACACCCCCAGUGAACCCGGGGGAUAGGGACACCCAGACGUAAAUGAGAAACCAGUAGAAAUGGAAGAAGUCCACGUGUGAGAAGGCUGCAGGGAGACUUCCACAUCCCCGCUUGGAGAGGACAGUGUGCAGAGGACAGUGAACAAGGACAGUGGGGAGCUUACAUGCAGUUAAAUGGUUGUGGCUUGAGCAGAGUUAUGGAAACGUGGUGGGCUGGUGCAGUCCGUGAUCAUGGACGGUUACAGGGUGUUUAAGAAGGAUCAGCAGGUAAGAAGAGGAGUGAGAACUGUACUUUGUGUAAGGAGUUCAUUCCCUGCACAGAGCUCAUGCAUGAACGUGGAGAUGUACUACUGAAAGGCUAUGAGGAGGGAGGAACGUUAGUGAUGAUCAAUGACUGCGGUGGGGAAUCUGUCACAGACUGCUUGGUCAAGAGAAUAAAUUGGACGGGCCUGUCUAUAGAGAGCUAAGAAAAGUGGUUUUGCUUUGAAGCCUUGGUGGACAUGGAAGUUUUAUCCAUCUGGAAAUCUACUGGAAGUGGAACACAGCAUUGUGAAAGCGUAGGCAGUUCCUAGGCCGCAUUAGUGAUAAUAUCCUAAAAGCAAAUGCUAGAGGAGCCAGUCACAGUAAAUCCCUACUUCUGCUUCUCACAAACGGGGGAAAACUGGUGGUGAGUGGCAUCUAGGGCUGCAAGGGCUAUAAAAUUAUUUCAGGAUCAGGAGAACGAUUUUAAAAUCAUGCUGCAGAGCUAGGACUUGGGACUUCAGGAGAGGAGAUUGUGACUUAUUUAGGGAAUUGCUAGGCAGAAUCCUUAGGAAACUGCCAAGAGGGGAAAAAUGAUGAGGAAAGCUGGUUAAUUUUUAAAGAAAACUAAAAGAGACUUCAAAACCAACUACCCUGUUCCACCAUAACACAUGGGAAUUUAGCAGAAACUUUGCCUUGCUUGCCUUAGCAAGGAGCUGCUUGAAGGACUAAAAUACAAAAAGAAAGAAUGCAAGCAGUGGAAAUAUGGGUAGGCAACAAAGGUAGAGUAUCAGAGUUCAGACCCAUGGUGAUGAAAUUAGGAAGGCCAAAGCCUGGCUGCAGAUAAAAUUAGGAUGGGACACAAAGGUGAGUUGACACUGAAUGGUAGAGCUUCUCUGCAGAGAUAUCUCUGCCAGGAGGGCCAGGACCUCCAGUGGUCCUCUGUAACAGUUUUCAGGCAGAAGUCUGCUAUUUUGAACAAAAAAGAAGAAAACCUGAUGACAAUACUUUUCAUGAAUGCACUGAUUUUGUUCUUAUUAAGGAUACUGUAAUUAGGGUGAAUCAGGUUACCCAACUUGGUACAAACCAGAAUCCUCAUUUGGCACAAGAGUGUUUAUCACCAUUAACAGAGCUUCAUUUCAGUGAGGUUUACCUGUUCGCUGUUUUGGAUUAAAUUUCUUCUGUUUUUCCCCCGGUUUCUGGGCAAUGCUCACAUUUCCUGUUUCCCUGGAGACACAGUAAUAGAAAUCUACGGCCAAAGGCUGCGCUGUUUCGAGAUGCACAAUUAGAGCAUUUGAAAACAAAACUGAAAUACAAAUAGUUGCAUGCUUUUACAAUUGUAUUCACUUCCAAAGCAUACUUUCUUCCUGGGGAAAGUAAUCUUUGUGGGUCUACUCCUCCCAACAUCUUAGUAGGAACAGCUGCAGCUCUUGUGGGAUGAAAAUACCAGGCUAAGCAAGUGGGUGUGUAAGCUAAAGGCUCUGAGCUGUUGGAAGCAAACUGCUCAGAAGGCACAGCUUUCUGAAAAGCUUAGAGAUGCUAAGAAGAUGAUAUUUCCUGACCAUUUCAUCUGUUCUCUAAUUUUCUGCAAAAAACGUAGAAUGUUUUCUGCAAAACUAAUGGUCAGAUUGGGCAGGCUCACUAUUGUUCGGUGAUCCUAUAGGAGCUCACUGUAACUGCCAAUUUUAGGUAAAAAUGCUAAACUUUCUCCCCUCUAUAAUAUGGGUAUAAUGGUGGUCUUCAAAUGUGAAGAGUGUGAAACAAAUCCCUGAUGUUUGCUUGAAGCAAGAGUUUAGGAAGCAGGAGUAGCCUAUAGUACUCCUGGUUCUGUUGUUGACUUGGAAGACUACUCUGUAUCAAAAUCAACUAUUUCAGAACUGACCAAAAGGUAUAAAAAAGAAGACAGGCAGACAUGAAGUGAAAAAGAACUGGAUUGUUGGCUUGGGAGGUAGCUCAGUUGUUUUUUGGUUUUUAUUUUUAAUUGGUAUCUGCUUAAACAAAGCAGAACACAGCAUGAGGUUUCUAAAUGUAAUUACACAAAUACAAGAUGAAGCACAAAAAUUACUAAAUUAAACUGAAGUGAAGAUGGAUGGAGAGAAAAGAGCCUCACUGCUUUAAAUGAGGCUGAUUCAAAUAGAACAAACAGGUUAUUGAUUGUUAUAUAGGCUAAUUAGCUGCACAUGUCAAGCAAAGAAAAGGCAGAAUAGAUCAUAUGUAACUUAAAAAGAGUGAAAACAAAAUGUUUUUUGUGUGCUUGUUAAUUUUAAACCCAGAUGAAACUGGAUGUGCAUACAAUUAGUUCAGUUAUAUCAGGGAGAUGCUGAAUCAUUAGAAUAUUUUAUUGAUCAGAUCAGUCAAAGAUGGAUUGAAUUAUUGCAAAUUUGUGGAAUUAAAUAAGAAGUAAGAGCUAUCUUCACAGGAUUAAAAAGAAGUCUGAAACUGAGAAAAUUAAAUGGGGAAAAUUGGCUUUUUUAAAUUAGAAACCAGCUCAUCUUGCUCAGACAGAGCUUUCUUGGAUCUGACUGUGGAAUGAUCCUGAAGAUCUAAGGGCUUGUAUUUCACUGUUCUCCACACCAAGUGCAGAGGAUCCUGGACCUUGCUUUUUCCAGUUUAAUGGCUGGAAAAGGAGAGAGGGCUGCUAAAUCUGUGUCUGACAUAGUAACAUGUACAUACACAUUGGUGUUUGUGUUUUGAAACAAACAAAAAGACCCUGCCCAGAAGGAACGCAAGCUUCAUCACACACAGUUAAGCAAGGAAUAAGCGGAUUAAUAAGAUGGACAGGUCUUUCUAAUGCGUAAGAUCAAAUUUUACAUUGCUCUGAGCUUCCUUGCACACAAGAACUUGAAUUGUUGACAUAUGAAUAAAGAUGUGCAGUGACACCCACAUGAAAGAUUAUCUUACUUUUUCCCCUUUAGAGAAUGCCUUCUGUCUAUCCUGUUCACUUUGCCUUAAAAAAAGGUCCAGCUUUUAGCAGAAAAUAGGAACAAUGCAAUCCCACUUUACUAAAAAUCUCAGAGAGAUUUACCUUUCAAGCAACCCACUGCUAUAUAAAAGAGAGAAAAUCACUGCUCUCCUUGCUUCUGUAAUGUGCUUUGUUUACAGGAAGCUCUUCAAAACAAAAAAAAGUGUCUGAAUACUAAGAUGAUGGGAGAACAAGAGGUGACUUCACUUCAGGGUCAGUUCAUGACUGUAAGGAAAGCUCUUGCAAAAUCUCAAGCAGAAAAUUACAAGCUAAACCAAUAGCUUCAUAAACAGGUAUCUGAAUUCAACAGGUCCCAAUUCAUCAGUGCAACAAGCUGAAUUCUCCUCUCCAUCUCACUUGGUUUAAUAAGGAUUUUGGCUACUGUGAUUCUAGGAAAGAAAUGGCUUCAGAACUAACUGCAUAACACAGUUGUUACUGAAGCUGGAUGUGUAUUUUGCGGCAUUGAAACUAUGCGUUCAUCAUCUGAGUGUUUUCACCAUUGCAGGUAGAGAGAACUAGAGAAAAAAUAUAGCAUCUUGGAUAAAGUCUGAAUCAUGUACCAAAAUGACAGCUACAGGCACUACAUUUAUGUAUGUCAUCAACAGUGCUGGAUGUAUGUUUUAGUAGAGGAAAAGAUGUUACUAACGUUUUAUUCCACAGAUUUAAAAAAACACCCUUAAAUCUCAGAUCCUGAGGUUAUUAGUCUUCCACCCAAUCAUUAAAUUUCAAGGAAACAUUCAGGGAUGUUGUCAUUAAAUCCAGAACAAAUUAAUUAUUUUUUUUUUUCCACCUGAACACCUUCAUGGCUGUAUCACUGCCACAGCAAGCUGCCUUUCACUUCUGCACAUGGCUACACAUGCUGAAAUGGCCCAUUCCUCAAAGUCAAACUGAAAAGCACACCCUUCCCUUGCAAUAUACUUAAUGCCAAGCAACAUUAUUUUAUAGCAAAUAAGUCUUGUGAAACCAACGUUAUUUCAUUCUGCUGAUAAGAUUAGAAGUUAGAUAAACAUAAUGCUAGAGAUGUAAUACAUGUUUGGAAGCGCCUUGUAACGCAUAUAACUUUUGUAUUUUAAAUUUUGCAGGAUCAAUAAAAAUGCCAAAUGGAUUGACAGCUAGAUUUUUGGACAUAGAAGCAUGUGUUAUUUUCAUUAAAUGAAGAUGGUUUCUGACAGAUGUCUACAGGUGUUGGUAGCAGGAACUAUCAGUAUUCAACAUUUUUGUCAAUGCCUUGGAAAUAAAUACAAAAUUGCAGAUUAUAAAAUUUACCAAUGAUAUAUGUGGGGAAGAAUGUUAGUGAAUUUGGUAAGGCACAUUUAGUGAAUAACGAUGUGGGCAGAGCAGGAGUACAGAAUCAUAGGGAUAGCUUGGUAACUUGGUUAUUCCUCCAAGGAGUAUUUCAGUGCCUGAGUAGAUGAAGAACGAGAAGAAAGCAGGGCUUGUACAGAACAGGGUGACCGCAUCCCUGGGCAGGACAGGGUUCGUAAUGGAUGACUGGCCAUGUAGUGCAGUACUGGAAAGAAUGGAUGCUAUAAUCUUUUCAUUUAUAAAAAGGAGAAUAGUGCAGACAUAUUAAAAAUGUGUUUGUAGCUCUGUGUACCACAUACUGAAAUACUGUUGCUGGAUCCAGAGCGUAGUACCUAAAAAAGAUGAAGAAAGAAUGGAGAAAGCGCAGAGGAGAGUUAGGAAAAUUCUUUGAGGGCUGCAAGAAAUGCUUUCUAGCAGAGGGCUCUUGAAAGGGACAAUCUAUUUAGCCUAUCUAAAAGAAGAGUGACUCGAUUACAGUCUACAGAUAUUUUUGUUGGGAGAGAAUAGUAGAUAUAUUAAAGGGUUCUUAGGGAAAGGUAUAACAAGAGGUGGUGCCUAGAAUUUGAGGCCGGAAAAACUGAAAAUGGGAAAUUAGAAACAACAUUUUCAAAAUGUGAUUAACAGGGGAAAUGACAAUAUGUCUGAGUGUCUUCAAGUCAAGAUCACAUGCCUUUCUGGGAAAAAUGGUUUAGCCGAACCAACUUGCUCAUUCCAGUACAAGGCUAAUUAAGGCAAAUGUGAUAUUAAAAAGUCAGAUCUGAUGGCUCGAUUGUGCCAUUCUGAACCUACUGGUCUAUGAAACUCCAACCUCAGUAAGGCUUAGAGAGCCCCCCAAUGAAAAAUGUUUGGCUGUGGCUGCUUUUAGCUAUUUGUGUUCAGAUUUUUCACCACAGUGGCGUGCCUUUGGCUGAUAAAUUGGUUUUCUUCACUGACAAGCUGUCAAUUUACUUCCAGAAGACCCACUGCAUCUAUCAUCUUUCUAGCAGCUGCUUUUGUUGCUUCUGUUUUUGAUUUCUGACAUCAGCUUCUGAUUCUUUCUCUUCUUUCUCAUUUCUUUCCUUGGUAUAGAUUGUGAUGGUGAUGUUUACAAAUAGCAGACUCCAUUCCACAACCCUUGGCUGUACAGGAGGGUUUGACCUGAUGUGAGUGGCUUGUAAUACCAUUUCAUUCAAUUGUGUUACAGGUUCUAAAAUGUAGCCAUACUUACUGGCUGUCUCUAUGAGCUGCAUAUAAACAGCAAUGUUUGAGAAAGCUCAUUUCCCCGCUCUCUUUCUUUGUUUAUAUGUUUUAAAAACAAGUUCCACAUGCAGACCAUAGGCUGGCUGCAGAAAGCAAAUUACAGCACACUGAGGAAAUUGGAAGCAACUGCCUUCUUGUUUACUUGCCAUUGAAUGAAUUCCACACAUGAAUGUUGUUGAGGCUUCUCUCUCUAACAAGCAAUGAUGUAAAUACAGCAUUCUGCUUCCCCUCCCCUUACCCUCCUCUUGUGCUUCCCUUUCCCACAACCAGAUCUUAUUUUGGGUUUAGGUCUGACUGUGGUCCUUUCAUAAGAUCAUAGGAUAAUUUGAAUUUGUUUACAGACAUCUUAUUAUCUUCAGUAUCAAGGCAUGUGGGAUUGGGUAUCUCCCCAUUCAGCUCAGCUGGGCGUGACAUGUGGAGUGGUCAUCAGGGUUUAAAAGCAUAGCUAAAAAGGUAGGGGAACUAGAGAAAAACAAUUUAAGUCUGAAACUUUAGUGAUUGGAUGUUGUAGAAGCAAAUGCUGUUAGAAGUAGUACAGAGGAAGAUACAAGAAGUGACAAGUACUUGGCAUGAUGAAAGGUGAAAACAAUGAGAAGGUGCUUGAAGAGAUGGAGGAAAAAGAGCAGAGAGUGAAAUGCCAAACCAAGGAAGCUGAAAAAUCUUCUAAAACGUGCCAUCUUCAACAAAAAAGAGAUACAACAGGUAAACUCAUAAUGCAGAGCUGAAAAAUAAAAACAGUAGCACUUCUGGAGGGAUGUCUCAAGUUUUAACGCUGUCUGACCAGAUCUGAGGGUUUUUUUUGUGUUUGAGCUUCACUGUAGUCCUCCAAGUCCUCUGGAUGAGGGUCUUGUAGCAUGAGCCUUGGCACGGUGCUGGGCCCUGCCUGCUGGGGGCUUAAGGUUGUGUUCCACCUCUUGGUGGCACCUUGUGUUUCUGAUGCUUCUCAGGGGCUUCCUGUUAAGCCUGGUUCAGUAUCUUUGCUCUAGAAAGUGAGUAUUAUUCUCCUUGGUUUAGAGGUAAACUGCCCAAGAGUCUGUGCAAGGUGCUGGUGCAGUGGGAACAGGUGCACAGCGCAGACAGAACAUGCUUGCACCCCUGGGGGAAUUGGGGGGUGCAGCAGCUAGAGCAGCAAGCAGCUGGGCUCAGUGGCUCUGGAGGCUUUAGCCAGCUGUUCAUUCCCUGUUGGGGUGUUCCCCAGUGGUGUGCUCCAUGCCUUGGCUGUAACUGCUGUCCUUGCCACCAGACUAAAUGGGAACUUUGGAGCCUUCCUUGGGCUCUGCCUCUCUGCCGGAGCCAUGUUCCUGCAUCUGCAGUGCCUGUUGCUUUCCUGGCUCUCCCUGUGACAUUUCCCAGGUGGGGCUCUGAUGCUAGUGCUGCUGCUGUCCUUUUGCUUUAUCGACUGCAUUUGACAUAAACCCUCUGCCCUUACCUCUGUUUCCCAAAUUCUGGUCUACCAAAUGAACAUAUUGGGAGCUGCUUUAAUCCAGUGUGGCCACAGAAAUGGCAUUAGUUUUCACUAAACUGAUGCCGUUAUGCUGCACUGAUAUAUUGAGUUUAAAUCUGUUACUGUAUUGCUAAUCAUUGAUUUAGUGUGAGUAACCAAAUCCACUUGUAAGAUUAUCUCCCUGUAAAACAGGCUGUAGAGCUUUCACUACUUCAAUUUAAAAACUGAUUUGGCCAAGUAAAUACAAUCUCUGUGUUUAGCACAGCUGGUAGAGUGGGCUCUUGGCUGCGAAAUGUGCAGUGCUGCUUCUGUAGUGUGGCCUGAACAAAGUAUUUUUUUGGCAACCAUUUGAUUAGACCUUAACUAGAUGAAUCAAUCUAUUUUUGCUGCUGAAGUCUCCUUGCCCUUGCUUUCUUGGUCUAGAGAGAAAAGAAGCUUUGUAAAUAUAUCUGAAUGCCUCUCAUGUAAAUCAGCUCAAGUAUAUUCUGUCUUCUAAAGCAUCAAGGUGAAAGCAUGAGUUGUUUGUUUUCCAGAGUCAGGAUGACAAACGCUGUUCUGCUGGGAAUAAUUUCUCAGGCUGCUGGCAGGAGACCACUGAUUUCACUGGUGCCUGUCUUUGAUGGGGCUCUGCACUGUUUUGCUGUGUUUACAAAAUAACCCUUCAAGAGAUCAGAGAUGUCAACAGCUUUUGAAGACGGCAGAAAGGAAAAUGGCAACUGCAGCAUGCAGGCUUUUAUUGCCGUACAACUGUCCCAGUUGCAGCUAGCACCUAAAUGGUGAGUAACACUAACAAACUUUAAAUAUAAACUUAGUAAAUGACAGAGUCUGUGGGAGAGUAGGGGGAAGAGCUGCUAUUUUUUCCACAUACCUCUGCCCUGAAAAUGGAGGUAGGGUCUUGUCUAAUUGUGGUUACAUGCAAAGAACAGUGAGAAAAGGCCUCUGUAUUGUUUUUAUCUUCCUCCAGCAACGCCUGAAAUGCAGAUUCCUAUUAAACAAUAAUGAGAACGUCAAUUUGCACUAUUUGUGCUGUAUUUUGCAUUCAGAGGGAUUAUGGAUAUGUUCAGCAAAGCUGUAAUUACAGAUUAUUUCAAUCAGCAAGAAGCGAUGGCCUCUUAUUUGCAAGUGAGGAUCUUUUCCUUUAAAUCUAGGCCUCUGCUUUGGUGCAGAGCUGUCAGAUGAUGAAUUUUUGUUGCUGCCAUUAAUCCUUUUACCACCUUUUAGAUAAGAAGUCAGUUAACCCAAGAGUGCAGUUUAAAAUGUGAGGCCUUGCAGCAAGUUGAUGAACUGCAGCGUCAAGUUUAUGACCUGGAAGCUGCAGUUUCCCAGAGGAAUGUGACUGCAGAUGAAGGUGGAUUGUGUGUUAUAACCUGUUUUCUUGGGAAAGUAAGUCUUAUGAGCUAUGGUUUGUGUCUCUGAAUCCCUCCUUGACCUUCGAAGCAAUAGGCAACUUAAGCCAAAUAUGAAAGAGGAGAACACCUCCUCUGUAAUGAAAGCAUUUAGGUGAAGGAGAAAGACGUAAGACAAUCUUGAAGAAAAAUCAGACAACUCAAAAGCCAUAUGCCUUGUCACACCGCAGCUGCUCAAGCAGCACAAGAAACAUUGACUCCCAAGUUAAUAACUUUAAACCAUAACUUGCACUGUCUUUUGCUUUUUAGGGAUAUCAUGGGAAAUAUGAGGGGAGCUGCAUUUAGGGGAGUAGGCAAUUAGGAAACGAAGGAUCCUAAGCUGUAGGAAACCAGGCUUCAUUAGUGGCUCUGGUGUUGGCACAGCUUGCUUACAAAUCACGUGGGGAAGCCAAACAAGACUGUACCUUUGUAAUUCGAUUAGAUACAUGCCUAUAAUUGCAGGUAUUUUUAGAGAAUCUCAAAACAGCAGUGACAGCUCUUAACUGAAUUAACCCAGAAUUUAAACCUUUAACAAAAGUCUUUCUUCUCAGCUGUUUGUUAGCUAACUUUUUAAUGUAAUGCUUACAUAAUUCAUAUAGCUUAAAAAGCUUGUUUAGGGAUUGCUAUUCUUACCUGCCUGAAGUUGCUGCUUUUCUCUGGGAUAUCAAAAUCCUACUACCAGUCUGACAAAUGUAUGCAGAAAAACUGAUGACCUAAACCCUAGCAAAUUAAUUAAACAGGAAAAAACUUCAAUGAUCUUUCAAGGUACGUUUCCAUACUGUGAAGAAUAUAAAGUACUACAAUUUAAUUAGUUUCCUUCUGCAGGAAAAUGCUAGUUAUUCUUGCCACAGGAAACUGAGAAAUUCUCAUUAGCACACUGUUGAAGAUAUGAACCAAAUAUGGGGAAAUAAAUGAACAGGGAGGGAUCAUUAAUUAAGACACAAAUAUACUUGGCUUCUCUGGCUUUAAACCAAUCAAGUUCAGGGGGAAAGUUGGUGCAAAACUUUCAGUGACAUCGAUGCUAUAGAACACAAUGAAAGCAGCUGUGACAGAAAGGGGAUGAUUUUUCUUUUUCUCCUGCUGUAAGUUACUAUUGUCAAACACGAGGCAGAGCUGGAAAGAUUGGCUGAGAGGCUUGGACUUCUCUGUGCUCGACACAGGAGGUCCGUGAAACUAUGGACACCUACUCUGCAAUGAAUUGUUGCUACCUUUUUACUUGUGAUUUUUUUUAAUUUCUGUAUCUGUAACAGUAGAUGCAUGUUGUGAGGUUUGGUGGCUUUUUUUUUUCCCUUUCAGAAAGGUAGAAAGAAGACUGCAGAGCUGUUCUCCCAUAGUACAAGAAGUAGUUUUCCAGGUAGUAAAUCAAUAUUAAAUAGCUAUAUUUUUUGAUGCAGUAAUACUAGUACUUCUCAGAAGGCAAUCCAGACUUGCAUCAUGUAAAGGUUUGUUUUUCUAUUAAUCUAACUUGCACUGUGCCACUAACCUGACUUCAGACCUAUAGCAUGUGGCCAGGCCUAUUUGUAUAGGGGUGGCAACUGUUACUUGCAAUAGCCCCGUUUUGGCUGUAAAGGUGAUGAUGUUUUUGAAGCAGGUCCUGUCAGCUCCAGGAAUUGCCCUCAUAAACUAAGACUUCAGCUAGUUUGUAAGAAUCUGUAGACAGCAGCCUGAGCCAUGUUCUCAAGCUUUCUUUUCCCCAUUCCUUCCCCUCCAUCUUCUCAUCUUCCUCUCCUAUGGACUAGGGCCCAGGGGUCCUCAAGCUUUUUAACCAGGGGGCCGGCGCGGAUGCAGUAGCAGGCAGUCAUCUGUGGCUGCUUGGUUCCCCCCCAACCCCUGGCGGGGGGUUCUGUAAAUAUCAGGGGCCGGAUUCAGGACCCUGGGGGCCGUAUCCUGCCCGCGGGCUGUAGUUUGAGGACCCCUGCACUAGGCCACAGCCUGUCUCAGUGAUGUAGAACAGUUGCUGUGCUGCUUCUGGGUUCAUGUCAUGCUCGUAUAGUCAGUCCUCCCAAGCCCCUGCUCAGGAUGCAUGGAUGCUGAACACAGUCUGACCAGACCGGGUAGUUGUACACUCUGGCCUUCUGCUGAAGCAGCAGGAGAGCAUCUGGCAGCUGCCCAGAGUCCCUUGGACCUGAAACAAUGCCAAAGCCAGCUAACCAAUGUGAUCGGAAACAUCCUGGAUCAUGUCUGAGGAGGAAGAGGAACAGUGUCUGAAUUAACAACUGCAGGAUUACAGCUACACAGCAAAAAUACCCUCGCCUUUUUACCUAAAGUUAGUAGGAAAGGUUAACGUAGGGUUAAGAAGUGGUAUGGCAACACCACACUGUACAUAGAUACAAAUCAGGGUUACAUCAUAUCAUGGCUGAGAGCAAGCAAAGCAUUUGAUUCAGUGGGGAUUUUUUGAGUGGCUGAAGCGUUGGCAUUAAGUAGCUGCAUCUCUGAUUUUUCAGAAAAAGACCAAGACUGGAAUUCACUAGCAAAUUUAGUGUCACUGGGAACAAAUAAUUAAUACCCAUCCACACCUUUUAAUCUUGGCUUUCAAUGGGUCCAGAAAAGACAGAGUUGUGGGGAAGAUAGCCACAUAUAAUGAAGUAGACUUGGGGCAGCAAGUUUUCAGUUUCACCGAGAUGUCUCCUGCGGCAGGAACGAAUGCUGAUACACUCAUUACUAUGAAUGAAAAGGGCAUGGGGUGAGCUGCAAAAAUUGCAGAUAGUUGCAAAUAGUUUUUGCAAACAGUUGCAACUAUCUGCAAAUAGUUUUUGUUCUACUUUGUCAAGAUCACCCAUGAACCACUUUUUCCUGACUAAGCAAUCUAUUAUUCUAUUAGUACUAUUAGUACUAUGCUGAGCGUUCACAACUUGUUGUAGGGUUUUUGUUGUGUGGUUUUUCUUUCUUUUCACUCUAACAUUCUGCUUAGAGAUCAGAAGCAAGAAUUUCUGCAUUUACUUGAGUUCUGCUCUAACUCUGUGUUGUUGACAACACUCAUGUUCUGCAGCUCCGGUCCAAAGCAACAAGCUUUCAGCAUCCACUCUGCAUGGGGAUGACCAGCAGCAUCCUUCGAAUUUUGACCCAAGCAGCAGUAAUGAAACAGGAGGAAACACUCCAAGACCACAGACAGUAACAGCGGGAUUGGGAAUAAACUGAUACGGCUGCAAAACAACCAAAUGCUUUGCUAGCCUGCAAACUGUGAUUUGUAUAUAUACCAGCUUUCAUCUGGACGGUAAAUCAAAUCCCUUUAAAGAUUUAUCUUUAAAAGCAAGGUAAGCAGGAUGUACAGCUAGCAAACGGGAAAAAAAGAAGUUGCAAGUGUUCCAAAAAUUAAGGAAAGGAGGCAGAAGGAAGGUAUUUAUCUAGCAAUGGUCCCAGAAUAAAAUUUUUUUUUGAGUAUCAUGCCAUGGUUGGUGACUUUUUAUAUGUUACUUGUGUUUUCAGGUGCCUAGCAGACGGGAGGAGAGAAUGGCAGAUAGGCUAUUACCACACCUAAAUGAAAAGUCUCUUCCCACUGUCCUCCUGCAGCUACAGAAACAAAGGCUGGUCCAGAAGUAAACCUAAAUGUAUGUUUAAUCAGUCCAGGGCCUUUUAGAAAAUGCCACUGAACUGGCAGCCUUGAAGUAAGAAAGAACAAUUUACAUACAAAUCAGAGAGAGGCAGUAAUGCUCCAGUACUGUGUGUAUGUACUUCAACAUACUUGGAUGCAGUGUUCCAUAGCAGCUCCAGCCAGUUCACCUGCUCACCCAUUUUAGGUACUGGGUGAUGCAGCUCCUCCUCUCAAGCAUGAGCAGCUCUGCAUCUCCUCCCUUCCCAGACAACACAGUGCAGUACAAAAAGGCAAGGCUAUCAGCCAAAACUAAAAGGCUUCCUUUUAUUGUGGUAACCUUGGAACAUGGGUGGUGCAAAGCAUAGCUAAGUGCUUAGAGCUAAAGCAUUGGGUCUGGUGUUUGCCGGUUUGCUUUUUUUCUUCUUCCACUGCUUUCCUACUGCAAGCCCUGACCACCACAUCCUGCCCCAUGCACUGCUCUCAGCCCCAAAGGUUGCAGCCUGUACACUGAACCUUUCACGCCUGUUUAAAGAUGACUCAUCAGAAGCCUCAGCAGCUCCACCUUCCCUA